RNAcentral lists this ribosomal RNA (492 nucleotides) under uncultured bacterium. RNAcentral's name for it is "partial 16S ribosomal RNA". It matches the Rfam family "Bacterial small subunit ribosomal RNA", at positions 28 to 507 of the family's 1533-position model. The record is from RNAcentral.
GAUGAACGCUAGCUACAGGCUUAACACAUGCAAGUCGAGGGGAAACGACAUCGAAAGCUUGCUUUUGAUGGGCGUCGACCGGCGCACGGGUGAGUAACGCGUAUCCAACCUGCCCAUCACUUGGGGAUAACCUUGCGAAAGUAAGACUAAUACCCAAUGAUAUCUCUAGAAGACAUCUGAAAGAGAUUAAAGAUUUAUCGGUGAUGGAUGGGGAGGCGUCUGAUUAGCUUGUUGGCGGGGUAACGGCCCACCAAGGCAACGAUCAGUAGGGGUUCUGAGAGGAAGGUCCCCGACAUUGGAACUGAGACACGGUCCAAACUCCUACGGGAGGCAGCAGUGAGGAAUAUUGGGCAAUGGGCGAGAGCCUGAACCAGCCAAGUAGCGUGCAGGAAGACGGCCCUAUGGGUUGUAAACUGCUUUUAUAAGGGAAUAAAGUGAGAGUCGUGACUCUUUUUGUAUGUACCUUAUGAAUAAGGACCGGCUAAUUCCGUG